ACGGGUGAGUAACGCGUGGAUAACCUGCCUCACACAGGGGGAUAACAGUUAGAAAUGACUGCUAAUACCGCAUAAGCGCACGGUACCGCAUGGUACAGUGUGAAAAAUUCCGGUGGUGUGAGAUGGAUCCGCGUCUGAUUAGGUAGUUGGUGAGGUAACGGCCCACCAAGCCGACGAUCAGUAGCCGACCUGAGAGGGUGACCGGCCACAUUGGGACUGAGACACGGCCCAAACUCCUACGGGAGGCAGCAUG
Molecule: ribosomal RNA, 253 nt
Filed under: uncultured bacterium
Lineage: Bacteria
Description: partial 16S ribosomal RNA
Rfam family: Bacterial small subunit ribosomal RNA
Source: RNAcentral